CCUACGGGAGGCAGCAGUGAGGAAUAUUGGUCAAUGGGCGUAAGCCUGAACCAGCCAAGUCGCGUGAGGGAUGAAGGUUCUAUGGAUCGUAAACCUCUUUUAUAAGGGAAUAAAGUGCGGGACGUGUCCCGUUUUGUAUGUACCUUAUGAAUAAGGAUCGGCUAACUCCGUGCCAGCAGCCGCGGUAAUACGGAGGAUCCGAGCGUUAUCCGGAUUUAUUGGGUUUAAAGGGUGCGUAGGCGGCCUUUUAAGUCAGCGGUGAAAGUCUGUGGCUCAACCAUAGAAUUGCCGUUGAAACUGGGAGGCUUGAGUAUGUUUGAGGCAGGCGGAAUGCGUGGUGUAGCGGUGAAAUGCUUAGAUAUCACGCAGAACCCCGAUUGCGAAGGCAGCCUGCCAAGCCAUGACUGACGCUGAGGCGCGAAAGCGUGAGGAGCAAACAGGAUUAGAUACCCUAGUAGUC
This 460-nucleotide ribosomal RNA is filed under the name uncultured bacterium. RNAcentral describes it as "partial 16S ribosomal RNA". It matches the Rfam family "Bacterial small subunit ribosomal RNA", at positions 338 to 795 of the family's 1533-position model. The record is from RNAcentral.